RNAcentral lists this transfer RNA (73 nucleotides) under Stegodyphus mimosarum. It matches the Rfam family "tRNA". Rfam says of the family: Transfer RNA (tRNA) molecules are approximately 80 nucleotides in length. Their secondary structure includes four short double-helical elements and three loops (D, anti-codon, and T loops). Further hydrogen bonds mediate the characteristic L-shaped molecular structure. tRNAs have two regions of fundamental functional importance: the anti-codon, which is responsible for specific mRNA codon recognition, and the 3' end, to which the tRNAs corresponding amino acid is attached (by aminoacyl-tRNA synthetases). tRNAs cope with the degeneracy of the genetic code in two manners: having more than one tRNA (with a specific anti-codon) for a particular amino acid; and 'wobble' base-pairing, i.e. permitting non-standard base-pairing at the 3rd anti-codon position. Lineage: Eukaryota; Metazoa; Arthropoda; Arachnida; Araneae; Eresidae. The record is from Rfam by way of RNAcentral.
GUUUUCGUGGUGUAAUAGUCAGCACACUCGACGCGUAAUCGAGAAGUCUGAGGUUCGAGUCCCGGCGAGGGCA